UGUCAAGUCCUCAUGGCCCUUACGCCUAGGGCUACACACGUGCUACAAUGGCCGCUACAAAGGGUCGCAAUACCGCGAGGUGGAGCCAAUCCCAAAAAAGCGGUCUCAGUUCGGAUCGGAGUCUGCAACUCGACUCCGUGAAGCUGGAAUUGCUAGUAAUCGCGCAUCAGCACGGCGCGGUGAAUACGUUCCCGGGCCUU
Molecule: ribosomal RNA, 200 nt
Filed under: uncultured prokaryote
Description: partial 16S ribosomal RNA
Rfam family: Bacterial small subunit ribosomal RNA
Source: RNAcentral